AGAGUUUGAUCAUGGCUCAGAGUGAACGCUGGCGGCGUGCUUAACACAUGCAAGUCGAACGAGAACGGGUUAUAGCUUGCUAUAACUGUCAGCUAAGUGGCGCACGGGUGAGUAAUAUAUAGGUAAUGUGCCCUAGAGAAGAGGAUAACAUUUGGAAACGAAUGCUAAUACUCUAUAUGCCUUUAAGACAGAAGUCUGCAAGGGAAAUAUUUAUAGCUCUAGGAUCGGCCUGUACGGUAUCAGUUAGUUGGUGAGGUAAUGGCUCACCAAGACAAUGACGCCUAACUGGUUUGAGAGGAUGAUCAGUCACACUGGAACUGAGACACGGUCCAGACUCCUACGGGAGGCAGCAGUGGGGAAUAUUGCACAAUGGGGGAAACCCUGAUGCAGCAACGCCGCGUGGAGGAUGACACAUUUCGGUGCGUAAACUCCUUUUAUAUAGGAAGAUAAUGACGGUACUAUAUGAAUAAGCGCCGGCUAACUCCGUGCCAGCAGCCGCGGUAAU
This 505-nucleotide ribosomal RNA is filed under the name uncultured bacterium. RNAcentral's name for it is "bacterial SSU rRNA". It matches the Rfam family "Bacterial small subunit ribosomal RNA", at positions 8 to 524 of the family's 1533-position model. The record is from RNAcentral.